RNAcentral lists this transfer RNA (73 nucleotides) under marine sediment metagenome. RNAcentral's name for it is "tRNA-Ile". It matches the Rfam family "tRNA". Rfam says of the family: Transfer RNA (tRNA) molecules are approximately 80 nucleotides in length. The record is from RNAcentral.
GUGCCUGUAGCUUAGUGUUUAAAGCACUCGUCUUAUGAGCGAGAGACCAAAGGUUAAAAUCCUUUCAGGCACA